Molecule: ribosomal RNA, 440 nt
Filed under: uncultured bacterium
Lineage: Bacteria
Description: partial 16S ribosomal RNA
Rfam family: Bacterial small subunit ribosomal RNA
Source: RNAcentral
CCUACGGGAGACAGCAGUGGGGGAUAUUGCACAAUGGGGGAAACCCUGAUGCAGCGACGCCGCGUGUGGGAAGACGGUCCUCUGGAUUGUACACCACUGUCCCCAGGGACGAAGAUGACGGUACCUGGGGAGGAAGCUCCGGCUAACUACGUGCAAGCAGCCGCGGUAAUACGUAGGGAGCGAGCGUUGUCCGGAAUUACUGGGUGUAAAGGGAGCGUAGGCGGGGAUGCAAGUGGGGUGUCAAAACUUCGGGCUCAACUGGUAGUCGCACUCAAAACUGCAGGUCUUGAGUGAAGUAGAGGCAGGCGGAAUUCCUAGUGGAGCGGUGAAAUGCGUAGAUAUUAGGAGGAACACCAGUGGCGAAGGCGGCCUGCUGGGCUUUUACUGACGCUGAGGCUCGAAAGUGUGGGGAGCAAACAGGAUUAGAUACCCCUGUAGUC